CCUCCACUACCGGACACGUUUUUUGA
Molecule: non-coding RNA, 26 nt
Filed under: Cricetulus griseus (Chinese hamster)
Lineage: Eukaryota; Metazoa; Chordata; Mammalia; Rodentia; Cricetidae
Source: RNAcentral